This 550-nucleotide long non-coding RNA is filed under the name Androctonus crassicauda. Lineage: Eukaryota; Metazoa; Arthropoda; Arachnida; Scorpiones; Buthidae. The record is from RNAcentral.
AUUAUUGUUGUUGGAAUUCGAUUGGAUGCAGAGAAUCGAUUCGGUGAUAAAGUCACGUAAGUUCGCAACGACUGAUUUUAUUAUUAAAAAUAUUUUCUAUAUACGCUCUGAAAUUGACACAGAAUGGAAACUUAAGUGUUUUAAUUAAUCGAUUGGAAUCGUUCUUGUUGGAAUUCGAUUGGAAGCAGAAAAUCGAUUAUGUGAUGACGUCAUGUCAGUUCGUAACGAUCUGAUUUUAUUUGUUAUUAAAAAUAUUUUCUAUAUACGCUCUGAAAUUGACACAGAAUGGAAACUUCAAUGUUUAAUUAAGUUCGAUCAAUUGGAAUCGAAUAAUCGAUUCCAAUUAAUCGAUUCUGGUAUUAUUGUUGUUGGAAUUCGAUUGGAUGCAGAGAAUCGAUUCUGUGACGACGUCAUGUGAGUUCGCAACGAUCUGAUUUUGUUUGUUAUUAAAAAUAUUUUUUGUAUACGCUUCGAAGUUGACACAGAAUGGUCACUUCAAUGUUUAAAUUAAUGUAAAAAUACAUGCUAUAAAAAAUUUUUUCUGACUGCG